GACGAACGCUGGCGGCGUGCCUAAUACAUGCAAGUAGAACGCUGAAGAGAGGAGCUUGCUCUUCUUGGCUGAGUUGCGAACGGGUGAGUAACGCGUAGGUAACCUGCCUUGUAGCGGGGGAUAACUAUUGGAAACGAUAGCUAAUACCGCAUAACAAUGGAUGACCCAUGUCAUUUAUUUGAAAGGGGCAAAUGCUCCACUACAAGAUGGACCUGCGUUGUAUUAGCUAGUAGGUGAGGUAACGGCUCACCUAGGCGACGAUACAUAGCCGACCUGAGAGGGUGAGCGGCCACACUGGGACGGAGACACGGCCCAGACUCCUACGGGAGGCAGCAGGAGGGAAUCUUCGGCAAUGGGGGCAACCCUGACCGAGCAACGCCGCGGGAGGGAAGAAGGUUGUCGGAUCGUAAAGCUCUGUUGUAAGUCAAGAACGAGUGUGAGAGUGGAAAGUUCACACUGUGACGGUAGCUUACCAGAAAGGGACGGCUAACUACGUG
Molecule: ribosomal RNA, 497 nt
Filed under: uncultured bacterium
Lineage: Bacteria
Description: partial 16S ribosomal RNA
Rfam family: Bacterial small subunit ribosomal RNA
Source: RNAcentral